CGCGUGCACUGGUCCGGCCGGGCCUUUCCUUCUGUGGAACCCCAUGCCCUUCACUGGGUGUGGCGGGGAAACAGGACUUUUACUUUGAAAAAAUUAGAGUGCUCCAGGCAGGCCUAUGCUCGAAUACAUUAGCAUGGAAUAAUAAAAUAGGACGUGUGGUUCUAUUUUGUUGGUUUCUAGGACCGCCGUAAUGAUUAAUAGGGACAGUCGGGGGCAUCAGUAUUCAGUUGUCAGAGGUGAAAUUCUUAGAUCUACUGAAGACUAACUACUGCGAAAGCAUUUGCCAAGGAUGUUUCCAUUAAUCAGGAACGAAAGUUAGGGGAUCGAAGACGAUCAGAUACCGUCGUAGUCUUAACCAUAAACUAUGCCGACUAGGGAUCGGACGAUGUUAUUUUUUGACUCGUCCGGCACCUUACGAGAAAUCAAAGUGCUUGGGCUCCAGGGGGAGUAUGGUCGCAAGGCUGAAACUUAAAGAAAUUGACGGAAGGGCACCACCAGGGGUGGAGCCUGCGGCUUAAUUUGACUCAACACGGGGAAACUCACCAGGUCCAGACACAAUAAGGAUUGACAGAUUGAGAGCUCUUUCUUGAUUUUGUGGGUGGUGGUGCAUGGCCGUUCUUAGUUGGUGGAGUGAUUUGUCUGCUUAAUUGCGAUAACGAACGAGACCUUAACCUGCUAACUAGCCCGUAUUGCUCAGGCAGUACGCCGGCUUCUUAGAGGGACUAUCGG
This 729-nucleotide ribosomal RNA is filed under the name uncultured eukaryote. RNAcentral's name for it is "SSU rRNA". It matches the Rfam family "Eukaryotic small subunit ribosomal RNA", at positions 670 to 1426 of the family's 1831-position model. The record is from RNAcentral.